RNA transcript from Eleginops maclovinus (Patagonian blennie), 3664 nucleotides. It is a transcript of the gene named cell surface glycoprotein 1-like, with no coding region annotated. The transcript is spliced from 7 exons. Lineage: Eukaryota; Metazoa; Chordata; Actinopteri; Perciformes; Eleginopidae. The record is from RefSeq and is a predicted model, not a curated record.
CCUAGCAACGCUCCUUGGAUACAAGCAGGAGUGAGCUCAUUCACUUUGGAGGACUGAUGACAGCAACAACAACAACAUGGAGCCUCGAGAUAGGGGGACAGAGUCUGUUCAGUUUCCAGCAGAUGAAGAUACAAGUCGAUCUGUUGGACAAACAUCCAUAAAUCAACCGGGAGCUCAAAGUCAUGACCGGCAGAGGGAGAGGCAGCCCAGGCUGGACACAGAUAGCUGGGAGCCUCAACAGCGAUGGAUGCGCUCUUUUGAGCCGGAAUUUCAGGACAGCAGCAUGUCUCCAGCCCUCUUCCUGUUGCCUGCACACUCUGGAGUGGAUCACAACUUCACAGAAUGUUCUUUAUUCCAACAAAGUGACAGUGAAUUUGCCCCUUUACGGCCGUUCCCUGACCUCUCUAUGGCAUCAGAGAGGUUUUACGUUCCUCCCCAGGAUCGCACCACUCAGGCCUCUGAGCGCGGGUCCCUGUCCCAGUUCCCUUUGGCCCAGGCAACCAUUCUGUCUGAAGAGGGAGUGAGCAGCUGCUGCUCUCUGUCCCAACACAGUUUAUCUCCAGGAGACGAAGGCAGACAAGAGGAAAAAGAUCACUCACCAGCGACUGCAACCAAUGACAGACAGGGAGUACUAUCCAGUGAGGAUUCGGAUAGCAGAGAGAAAGACUCAGAGACUCAAACUGAACCUCCAGACACACAAGUACGAGAGGCUGCUCAAGAUGACAUAUUCUUUCUGAGUAAGGAUGUUCCUGCCCAGCAUCUUCUAGAGCUCCUGCAGAAAGAUAUGGGUAUGCAAAGCAGUAGUAGUAGUGCUGUUUCCUCCUCCUGUGAGACCUCUGUGAAGGUGGCUACAUCUUUUGCAGAAGACUCUAAAAACGCUCAAGUUUGCAAACCAGGCUUUGAGCAAAGCAUGGUUAAAAGAGAAGGUCCUCCAGGGGAAGCUUCUGUUCCCCAGCAGCAGUCAAAACAACCUGAUAGAGAUUUAUUCCCUGACCAAUCACAGACAUUGUCUUAUGAAGAAUGCAACAUAACCAUGGGGCUCCGAAGCACCAAACCUGAUGUCAGCAGUGAAGAAUUACACAGAGAGUUGCUGUCUGAGGUAGAGAGGCGCAGCAGUCGUGAAAAUGAAUCUAAAAACCAACAGCGCAAAAGUUCUACACCACCCGUUAUAUCUCUCACACCAUUUCCCUCAGGGACGUCUGAAGUGAAGCCAAGUGCUUUCAAAAGUCACUUUGGUGGCCUGCAGUUGACAGGGCCGUUUUCAGCCGGCUUUGAGCGCGGUCACAGAGAACAAGACCUCUGGCUCUCUGGGAACCACACAGGGAUUGAUGGGUCCUAUCUGGGGUUCAUUCCACAAUCUCAAUCCACUCCAGGGGUGUUUAAAGCUCCAUCCAAAUCCAGUGUCAAGGCUAAAUUAGGGCUAGUCUCUGCCAUAGAAUCCAACAAAGAGAACUCUUCUCAGUCAAACACCGGUAUCUCUCCACAGCCAGCUGUUCCUGCAACUGAUCCCCCUGAAACAACAAAUCAGAGCCAAGAGGAAGCCACCUCUGCUGAAGUCCAGUCUCUCCCAAGUCUCAACUACAUGCAGAAAGUAGAUGCCUGGAGGGCCAAUCAGAGUUCAGGCAAGGCAGCACUGUUUCAGAGCUUGGCACUGCAAAGAUUUUCCAGCCCUUCUCCGAAACAGAAAGCUUACGAAACGGUAUCUGAACCCCUGAAUCGCAGCCUGAGUCAGCAGGCAGGGAGUUUACAGCCAAGUGCUGCCAAUCAGGAGGUCACACAGAGCUCCUCCAAGGCUCCCUCUGGAUACUCUUCUCCCAGGAGAGGGGAGGCGGUGGGCAGUGCUCCCAGUGACAAAGAUAACUCUGCAACAAGACCUUCUGCAUCACCCUUUGGCAGGUCUCAGUCCCACUCCUCUCUUAGCACCGUUAUCAUGUCGGCGAAGAAAGAUCAGCAGAGUAAAAGACCUGCAGAUAACGGGAACAUUGAGGCUCAUCAUCAGCCAAGCACCACAGUUCAGCCCCCGCCUCGCAUGAGCCUCAGUCAGUUCAGCGACGUGUCUCUUGAUCAUGAUUUGACGCUCUCAAGUUCCCAAGAAAGUUACAACAGUGGAGUUAAAUUAGCAACGUCCAUCGGAGCGUCUUCUGUUGUCAGUCUGGAGGUCGAUAACUACGCUCCGUACUGGACUUCAAAGCAAUCAACACCACCACCUAUGGCAAGGCAACGAGAGAUAGACAUCGAAGAACGAAUCCCGUUGUAUCUUCGUAACCUGGGUAUUGACCAGUCCCCCUCAACUAUUCUAACUCCAUUUGCACCCAGAGGACCAAUCAGAGAGCCAGAGUUCUCUCCCACUGAUCUCUGCACUAUUAAAGGAUCUAUUGGAACACCAACCAAGAGCACCUUACCCUCUGAAGGUGGCAGUCACAAUAAAGGAGAGUUUUCCAGGUGCAGCAUUCUGUCAGUGGACUCCAGUAUAUCCAUCCCGUUGAGCCUGGACAGUCUCGGUCCAGGUGCUUCUCUCCCAGAGCGCAGCAGGCAGACGUCCCCUCCAUCAGAUACAGAAGCUGUGCAGAGUGAACGCAGACUGGCUCCCUCCUCCCUGCCGGAUGAAGACUCCUACCCUUCCAGCCAGCAACCCCACAUGGACAGUAGCCUAACCAGCAGCCAGAACACCAUCACACUCGGAGACAGGUACGACUCCGACCUCUCGUUAGCUACCAAGGCUAACGGUGCGGAUUCAGACCCGGAGUCUCCCUUGCAAAACGAGCCGACGUUUGGAGCAAAGCGCAGAAGAUUCUAUGGUUAGCUCGAAGGCCUUGAUGGAAAUCCGUAAACUCCUCUCUCAGGCGGAGAACAUGGUGUCUUCUGGAUCUUCUGUAGAUCCCUCUGCCCCCACUGCAGUGCCCCGGGUGCUCUCUGAUGAUAACCUCUUCCUUUCACUGAGGGAGAAAUCCAGCACCCUCCAGGACUCUUCCUCCUCCGCUACCGAGGAUCCCAGAGCUCGAUUCUACCCCCUGUGGGCCAGAUCCGCAUCCGACUCCAUGCUGACCUCCGACAGACUGAGAGAAAACUCUAUUGGUCGAGAGACUUCAUCGGGGCAGCCUACUUAUCUGUCCACACAGGGCCUUACGUCCACAGGGGCAUACAAGAGGCCACAGGAUGUUGGUAGAGGUGCAGGGUCGGCCCUUGUCCUCUCCCAAUCAGCCCGACGUGCAGAGCCUGAGGGAUGCAGUGCUGCCCCCCCCGACAACACCGUCCCACCACAACCAACAUCCAUCCCACCUUCACCUGCUUUGAGUAUACAGCUCACAUCUACUGCUACCGAAACGGCGAAGGUCACAGAGGAGGAAAAGCAGGCUCCUGAGGAAGAUCCUGUGCAGAGCAGCUCCCCCCCGGCCGCCCUGGAGGACAGCGAUCAGGGAGUGAUGAGUGACGGCAGCAGCGAGAGCUCGCUGGCGGUCAGAGUGGCCCAGUUACUGCAGAGUGAGUCUCCGGCCACCAUGGUGUCCAGUACACCCAGCGUCACUGACAAUGAGGAGAGCAAGGCCAGAGAGUGGAUAAAGCUGAAAUCUCAGGGCAGCAGUGUGAGCCUCUGGUGUUGGAUACAGAAGACAGAAGGCGGAUUGAAGAGAUCAAGAGAGAGCUGCUGUUGAAAAACCCAAUAAUG